AUUGCCCCAGUAACGGCGAGUGAAGCGGCAACAGCUCAAAUUUGAAAUCUGGCCCCUGGGGCCCGAGUUGUAAUUUGCAGAGGAUGCUUUUGGCGAGGUGCCUUCCGAGUUCCCUGGAACGGGACGCCACAGAGGGUGAGAGCCCCGUCUGGUUGGACGCCGAGCCUCUGUAAAGCUCCUUCGACGAGUCGAGUAGUUUGGGAAUGCUGCUCUAAAUGGGAGGUAUAUGUCUUCUAAAGCUAAAUAUUGGCCAGAGACCGAUAGCGCACAAGUAGAGUGAUCGAAAGAUGAAAAGCACUUUGAAAAGAGAGUUAAAUAGUACGUGAAAUUGUUGAAAGGGAAGCGCUUGUGACCAGACUUGGGCCCGGUGAAUCAUCCAGCGUUCUCGCUGGUGCACUUUGCCGGUGCCCAGGCCAGCAUCAGUUUGCCCCGGGGGAUAAAGGCUUUGGGAAUGUGGCUCCCCAGGGAGUGUUAUAGCCCACUGCACAAUACCCUGUGGCGGACUGAGGUUCGCGCAUCUUGCAAGGAUGCUGGCGUAAUGGUCAUCAGCGACCCGUCUUGAAACACGGACCAAGGAGUCGUCUUCGUAUGCGAGUGUUCGGGUGUCAAACCCCUACGCGUAAUGAAGGUGAACGCAGGUGAGAGCUUCGGCGCAUCAUCGACCGAUCCUGAUGUUCUCGGAUGGAUUUGAGUAAGAGCAUACGGGGCCGGACCCGAAAGAAAGUGAACUAUGCCUGUAUAGGGUGAAGCCAGAGGAAACUCUGGUGGAGGCUCGCAGCGGUUCUGACGUGCAAAUCGAUCGUCAAAUAUGGGCAUGGGGGCGAAAGACUAAUCGAA
This 837-nucleotide ribosomal RNA is filed under the name Metarhizium sp. NHJ11597. Its description in RNAcentral is "LSU rRNA". It matches the Rfam family "Eukaryotic large subunit ribosomal RNA", at positions 74 to 939 of the family's 3401-position model. Lineage: Eukaryota; Fungi; Ascomycota; Sordariomycetes; Hypocreales; Clavicipitaceae. The record is from RNAcentral.